GACUCGCUAGCUCAGUCGGUAGAGCAACUGACUUUUAAUCAGUGGGUCGCAGGUUCGAUUCCUGCGCGGGUCA
Molecule: transfer RNA, 73 nt
Filed under: Ruoffia tabacinasalis
Lineage: Bacteria; Bacillati; Bacillota; Bacilli; Lactobacillales; Aerococcaceae
Also listed under: 8 other names
Description: tRNA-Lys
Rfam family: tRNA
About the family: Transfer RNA (tRNA) molecules are approximately 80 nucleotides in length. Their secondary structure includes four short double-helical elements and three loops (D, anti-codon, and T loops). Further hydrogen bonds mediate the characteristic L-shaped molecular structure. tRNAs have two regions of fundamental functional importance: the anti-codon, which is responsible for specific mRNA codon recognition, and the 3' end, to which the tRNAs corresponding amino acid is attached (by aminoacyl-tRNA synthetases). tRNAs cope with the degeneracy of the genetic code in two manners: having more than one tRNA (with a specific anti-codon) for a particular amino acid; and 'wobble' base-pairing, i.e. permitting non-standard base-pairing at the 3rd anti-codon position.
Source: RNAcentral